GCUGCAUUGUUUGGGAGUCCUGCUGAAUUCUUGCAAGGAAUACAGCCCGGCAGCUCAUAUUAGAGAUAAAGCUGCCCUUUUCUCAACACUUGUUGUGGGUCUUCAGCUGCCAAGUGAAGAGAUUCGAGGGGAGAUAAUGUUUGUGCUGUAUAAGAUGUCCCUUCAACAGGCCACUCCAUGGGAUGAUGAGAACAACCAUGAUAUUGAUCUUUCAUCAAAAGGAAAUUCCUUACUGCAACUUUCACUUGAAGCUUUGCUCAAGACCCAAAAGGAUGAUGUUCGCAUAAAUUGUGUAGCACUGCUGAUGGUGUUAGCCCGGAGAGGUGUAUUCGAUAACUCUUUUGAAAAUGAUCAAAUUGGAGGCUUUAAUAAAGAAAUAGAUAAGCCGAUUCAUGGAGAUGAAGUAGUCUUUUCUUCACCUCUUAUUGAAAUGUUUGCUGAUGCUAUUAAAGCUCCUCUGCUUUCUUCUGAUAGUCAACUACAAACCAGCACCUUGGACUUGAUCUUUCAUAUCUUUUCAUCUGGUGCUACUUGUUUGAAGAAAAUUCAAGCUCUUGUUGAAAAUAACAUUGCAGAUUAUGUUUUUG
Long non-coding RNA from Musa acuminata AAA Group (dessert banana), 587 nucleotides. RefSeq lists it as uncharacterized. NCBI's taxonomy places the organism in Eukaryota, Viridiplantae, Streptophyta, Magnoliopsida, Zingiberales, Musaceae. The record is from RefSeq and is a predicted model, not a curated record. The transcript has 3 exons.